AUUAUUCUAUAUAACUCACAUAAAAAAUAAGUGAUAUUGUCAUAGAUUAUAGUUAUUACAUAAGGUCCAAUCUAUUUCUUUGCAAACUUCUUUACUAUGCUAUAUUGAUGGAUCAAUCUAUUAUUAUAAAUUAAAAUCUCAUCUCUAACUUCUAUGGAGUUAGGUCUUAACUAGUGUGUUUAUCAAAUCUUUCUUUGUUCUU
This 202-nucleotide long non-coding RNA is filed under the name Physcomitrium patens. RNAcentral's name for it is "long non-coding RNA (PPAT_LNC008943)". The record is from RNAcentral. Lineage: Eukaryota; Viridiplantae; Streptophyta; Bryopsida; Funariales; Funariaceae.